This 446-nucleotide ribosomal RNA is filed under the name uncultured soil bacterium. RNAcentral's name for it is "bacterial SSU rRNA". It matches the Rfam family "Bacterial small subunit ribosomal RNA", at positions 26 to 518 of the family's 1533-position model. The record is from RNAcentral.
AGAACGAACGCUGGCGGCAUGCCUAAUACAUGCAAGUCGAACGAACACUUCGGUGUUAGUGGCGCACGGGUGCGUAACGCGUGGGAAUCUGCCCUUGGGUUCGGAAUAACAGUUGGAAACGACUGCUAAUACCGGAUGAUGACGAAAGUCCAAAGAUUUAUCGCCCAGGGAUGAGCCCGCGUAGGAUUAGCUAGUUGGUGAGGUAAAGGCUCACCAAGGCGACGAUCCUUAGCUGGUCUGAGAGGAUGAUCAGCCACACUGGGACUGAGACACGGCCCAGACUCCUACGGGAGGCAGCAGUAGGGAAUAUUGGACAAUGGGCGCAAGCCUGAUCCAGCAAUGCCGCGUGAGUGAUGAAGGCCUUAGGGUUGUAAAGCUCUUUUACCGAGAUGAUAAUGACAGUAUCGGGAGAAUAAGCCCCGGACUAACUCCGUGCCAGCAGCCGC